UACGUAGGGGGCGAGCGUUGUCCGGAAUCAUUGGGCGUAAAGAGCUCGUAGGCGGUUCAGCAAGUCGGCUGUGAAAGUCCGAGGCUCAACCUCGGAACUGCAGUCGAUACUGCUGUGACUCGAGUCCGGAAGAGGAGAAUGGAAUUCCCGGUGUAGCGGUGAAAUGCGCAGAUAUCGGGAGGAACACCAGUAGCGAAGGCGGUUCUCUGGGCCGGUACUGACGCUGAGGAGCGAAAGCGUGGGGAGCAAACAGGAUUAGAAACCCUAGUAGUCC
Molecule: ribosomal RNA, 274 nt
Filed under: uncultured bacterium
Lineage: Bacteria
Description: partial 16S ribosomal RNA
Rfam family: Bacterial small subunit ribosomal RNA
Source: RNAcentral